GUUGUGGAGGUGUUGGGAGACAGCAGUUCAUCAGCAGAGGCGCAGAAGAGGCUCGUUUCGUCGGGCCUGAGUGCCAGUGACGCAUCCCGGAUAGUUCAGAAGUGCUGGAAGAGGUCUCGACGGAAAGCUGCCAAGGCGGAAAGGGAAAACAUUGACCCUAAACAGACUCCUGCACAACAGGAGCAGCGAACGGAGGUCGCCGCCGACAUCACGGCACCCGUCUCGGUACGUGUCCCCGAGCCGGGCCUACCGUACCCAGAGGGCGAGACCCGCGGUGUCGGCCGGGCGGCGGCCAGUCCAGAGAGGAGGGCCAUCUCCCCCGGACGGUGGCUGAUUGGGUUCCAGCAGAGAGCCGCACGGCUCUUCUCCGGGGUGGAGGCACCUGGCAAACAGGCUGGCAAGAGCAGCCCGACUGCUGCGGCGGCCGCCCCCGCCGAGAGAGCCGAAAAGAGGGCGGCGUCAGUGUCCCCGCGCCUGUCGCCGCACAAAGUGUUCUCAUCCGAGCAGCGGCUAGC
Long non-coding RNA from Amphibalanus amphitrite, 515 nucleotides. RefSeq lists it as uncharacterized. The record is from RefSeq and is a predicted model, not a curated record. NCBI's taxonomy places the organism in Eukaryota, Metazoa, Arthropoda, Thecostraca, Balanomorpha, Balanidae. The transcript is spliced from 4 exons.